UUUCUUUUCGAAGAAAGAGAAAAGUGAAGGAUGGAAAGUUCUUAGAAAAAAAAGAAAAAGAAAAAAAGAAGAAGAAAAAAGGGACUCCUCGAUCGCGUGACUACUAUAGUUGCUGUGAAACAGAUGUGUUUUCGAGCCAUCGUAGAACUUCUCUAAGUAAAAUCACGAAACGAAUAGGAAAUGGCAAUUGUGAAGAACACUAGAACCGUAUUAAAUAAAUUAAAAGGCAUUCUUUCAAUCAACUUUCACAUAUUUGCUUAAACCGGCUGCGCGAGGAUAGCAGGAGGACACUGACAAAUGGCCGAUUCCAUAGGACGAAGUAAGAGAGCUAAAAUGAGGAAG
Long non-coding RNA from Vespula pensylvanica (western yellowjacket), 342 nucleotides. RefSeq lists it as uncharacterized. The transcript has 3 exons. NCBI's taxonomy places the organism in Eukaryota, Metazoa, Arthropoda, Insecta, Hymenoptera, Vespidae. The record is from RefSeq and is a predicted model, not a curated record.